RNAcentral lists this ribosomal RNA (478 nucleotides) under uncultured eukaryote. RNAcentral describes it as "partial 18S ribosomal RNA". It matches the Rfam family "Eukaryotic small subunit ribosomal RNA", at positions 592 to 976 of the family's 1831-position model. The record is from RNAcentral.
CAAUAGCGUAUAUUAAUGUUGCUGCAGUUAAAAAGCUCGUAGUUGAAUCUUGGAGAAGUUCGUAGCCAGGUCCGCCUCAAAUGGCGAGUACCGGUUGCGUCUCUCUAUAUCUGGUAACAACAUACUAUCAUGCUUAACUGUGUGGUAGUUUCGGGAAGAGGAGACUCGACUCGAAGGUUGGGAGCAUUGUUGGGGCCAGGGGAUUAAACUCCUUUGGUCACGGGGUGUUUCUGGCAAUGUUUUACCUAUUUUACUUUGAAAAAAUUAGAGUGUUCAAAGCAAGGCGUUAGCCUAUUGAAUAUUGCAGCAUGGGAUAAUGGAAAAAGAUAGUCUGUCUUAUUUUGUUGGUUUUUUAAGAUGACAAUAAUGAUAGAAGGGGAUGGUUGGGGCGGUCUGUAUUGUCACGUCAGAGGUGAAAUUCUUAGAUUGUGGCAAGACAAACUACUGCGAAAGCUUUCCGCUAGGACAUAUUCAUCAA